ACACGGAGCUUGCUCUGUGGGAUCAGUGGCGAACGGGUGAGUAACACGUGAGCAACCUGCCCCUGACUCUGGGAUAAGCGCUGGAAACGGCGUCUAAUACUGGAUAUGUGACGUGACCGCAUGGUCUGCGUUUGGAAAGAUUUUUCGGUUGGGGAUGGGCUCGCGGCCUAUCAGCUUGUUGGUGAGGUAAUGGCUCACCAAGGCGUCGACGGGUAGCCGGCCUGAGAGGGUGACCGGCCACACUGGGACUGAGACACGGCCCAGACUCCUACGGGAGGCAGCAGUGGGGAAUAUUGCACAAUGGGCGGAAGCCUGAUGCAGCAACGCCGCGUGAGGGAUGACGGCCUUCGGGUUGUAAACCUCUUUUAGCAGGGAAGAAGCGAAAGUGACGGUACCUGCAGAAAAAGCGCCGGCUAACUACGUGCCAGCAGCCGCGGUAAUACGUAGGGCGCAAGCGUUAUCCGGAAUUAUUGGGCGUAAAGAGCUCGUAGGCGGUUUGUCGCGUCUGCUGUGAAAUCCCGAGGCUCAACCUCGGGCCUGCAGUGGGUACGGGCAGACUAGAGUGCGGUAGGGGAGAUUGGAAUUCCUGGUGUAGCGGUGGAAUGCGCAGAUAUCAGGAGGAACACCGAUGGCGAAGGCAGAUCUCUGGGCCGUAACUGACGCUGAGGAGCGAAAGGGUGGGGGAGCAAACAGGCUUAGAUACCCUGGUAGUCCACCCCGUAAACGUUGGGGAACUAGUUGUGGGGGUCCAUUCCACGGAUUCCCGUGA
This 769-nucleotide ribosomal RNA is filed under the name Brevibacillus agri. Its description in RNAcentral is "bacterial SSU rRNA". It matches the Rfam family "Bacterial small subunit ribosomal RNA", at positions 71 to 846 of the family's 1533-position model. Lineage: Bacteria; Bacillati; Bacillota; Bacilli; Caryophanales; Paenibacillaceae. The record is from RNAcentral.